ACGGUGGAUGCCCUGGCAGUCAGAGGCGAUGAAGGGCGUGCUAAUCUGCGAUAAGCGCCGGUAAGGUGAUAUGAACCGUUAUAACCGGCGAUACCCGAAUGGGGAAACCCAGUGUGAUUCGUCACACUAUCAUUAACUGAAUCCAUAGGUUAAUGAGGCGAACCGGGGGAACUGAAACAUCUAAGUACCCCGAGGAAAAGAAAUCAACCGAGAUUCCCCCAGUAGCGGCGAGCGAACGGGGAGGAGCCCAGAGCCUGAAUCAGCAUGUGUGUUAGUGGAAGCGUCUGGAAAGGCGCGCGAUACAGGGUGACAGCCCCGUACACAAAAGCGCAUGUGCUGUGAGCUCGAUGAGUAGGGCGGGACACGUGGUAUCCUGUCUGAAUAUGGGGGGACCAUCCUCCAAGGCUAAAUACUCCUGACUGACCGAUAGUGAACCAGUACCGUGAGGGAAAGGCGAAAAGAACCCCGGCGAGGGGAGUGAAAAAGAACCUGAAACCGUGUACGUACAAGCAGUGGGAGCACCCUUUGGGUGUGACUGCGUACCUUUUGUAUAAUGGGUCAGCGACUUAUAUUCUGUAGCAAGGUUAACCGAAUAGGGGAGC
RNAcentral lists this ribosomal RNA (602 nucleotides) under Salmonella enterica subsp. enterica serovar Enteritidis. RNAcentral describes it as "partial 23S ribosomal RNA". It matches the Rfam family "Bacterial large subunit ribosomal RNA", at positions 21 to 666 of the family's 2925-position model. Lineage: Bacteria; Pseudomonadati; Pseudomonadota; Gammaproteobacteria; Enterobacterales; Enterobacteriaceae. The record is from RNAcentral.